GAUGAACGCUGGCGGCGUGCCUAAUACAUGCAAGUCGAGCGAACAGACGAGGAGCUUGCUCCUCUGACGUUAGCGGCGGACGGGUGAGUAACACGUGGAUAACCUACCUAUAAGACUGGGAUAACUUCGGGAAACCGGAGCUAAUACCGGAUAAUAUAUUGAACCGCAUGGUUCAAUAGUGAAAGACGGUGUUGCUGUCACGUAUAGAUGGAUCCGCGCCGCAUUAGCUAGUUGGUAAGGUAACGGCUUACCAAGGCUACGAUGCGUAGCCGACCUGAGAGGGUGAUCGGCCACACUGGAACUGAGACACGGACCAGACUCCUACGGGAGGCAGCAGUAGGGAAUCUUCCGCAAUGGGCGAAAGCCUGACGCAGCAACGCCGCGUGAGUGAUGAAGGUCUUCGGAUCGUAAAACUCUGUUAUUAGGGAAGAACAAAUGUGUAAGUAACUAUGCCCGUCUUGACGGUACCUAAUCAGAAAGCCACGGCUAACUACGUG
RNAcentral lists this ribosomal RNA (497 nucleotides) under uncultured bacterium. RNAcentral's name for it is "partial 16S ribosomal RNA". It matches the Rfam family "Bacterial small subunit ribosomal RNA", at positions 28 to 507 of the family's 1533-position model. The record is from RNAcentral.